UGAUGGAGUUUAUAAAAUAUUAGCAUCAAUUAUAUUCUUUUUUUCUUUAACUGUCAAUUUUUUGACGUAUCUCAUAUAUUAUAGUAUUACAAUGAAGUGCUCUAAUUUAUCUGUUAAAAAGGUUUCAUCACUGUUUCCUGUAGUAAUUCUCAAUAAUGUUUUAAAUAGGAUAUAUUAAAUAGGAUAUAUUAUCUAAAGUAAACAGGCUUUUAAGCCUUCAAUUUGCCCCAAUUGACAUGAAGUGCGCAUUUCGAAAAGCCAGUGAACGCAGCGUCAUACGGGCACCCCCACCCCACUCCCCCGGAAACCCCCGGAUGAACCCGCAGGAAGGCGCGCGGCUGAAGAACUCUUGGACAGCUGGAAGGCAGCAGGAUCACGGUGAAGGCCUCUUCUGUAGGACGGGGGCGGAAACGUCACGUGGUCUCCGCAGAGACUGGUCAGUUAUUUGGAGACAACAUGCACAAAUAGUUCCUGGACUGAUCUUCUGCUAACUUUGUGAUGGAGAGGCUGUCAGGUUCAUCUGUUUCAGGGUCCUGCAUGCUGUCCCUCCAUGUUGGCUGUAGCAGUGGAUGGAACUUGCAAAAUGUACUGUUUUAGAGCCAACUGGGGCUCAGUGGUUAUUUUGAAGAUGCGUUUCUGACCAAAAACACUGUGGUGACCUCCUUUGAACUGCAUUCAUGGGGAAAUAGAACAUAUGGGAGAUGUGGAGCAGGUAAGUUUGUGGCAGCACCAGAGUCCUCCACCAAGUCUUCUGGCAAAGUAAAUGAGGAAGGAUCGCAGUCUGCCAUCGUGGAGUUUUGCUGAAAGGACUGAACAUGUUCCAUCCAUGCAUCCAUCUUCUUCCAUUCAUCCAGAACCAGGUUAUGAGGGCAGCAGUCUAAGCAAAGAUGCCCAGACUUCCAUCUCCUCCAGCUCCUCUUGGGGGACCCCGGGACCAGCUGAGAGACGUAGUCUCCCCAGCGUGUCCUGGAUCUCCCUUAGGGCCUCUGCCCUUAUUCCUGUUGGAGUUUUUUUCUAAUCCCUUAUGUUUCAAAAGUUUGCAAACAUACAUUUUGGUUGAAAUGAUGAGGAUCCGAGGAUGAAAUCAAGAAGGGACAACUUCAGGGAAAGGGACUGAACCAACUGAACAGCUUCCUCUCUUCAGCAGACACAUGUUCAGAGUACAUAUGUGUCAAAUAUUGACAUCCUCGCCGUUCAGGCCGGUGGCUGGAACAAGCGGAAGUCAGAAAAGCUGGAGCAGACGUGACCAGAAUGAUACCUCCAGGACCAAUCAAAAUGACCCAGAGAAAAACACUGAAGGGCUUUGUCUGAGCAUCAGGAAAACAAGGAUCAGCCGUGUCAUCAACAUAUGGUUAUGGUGCCAUGGUAAAGAACUAAAGGCUCUAUGAUGUCAUGCUGCUGACCAGACUGCGGUGGGUGAAGUCCAGCAGCACUGCGGGUCCUUGAAGUGUGGUUGAAGAGCUCUCCUCCCAGCUUUUGGAAGGUUCUGCCCCCCAAAGCAGCACAGAGUCAUUGAUGGGGAGAGGACAUGAGGACAUGUCUGCUGAGGAGGGGACUUUCUGCAGUUCAAGCCCCAGCUCCACCCCUAAAAAAAGGCUUAUAUAAAGGAAAACCUCAUUUCAACUUUGUACCAAUAAAUUACUUUUAAUUGAAAUGAGAGAUUUUUUUCGGAACUGCAUCAAUGAAGGUUUUUUCAACCUAAAUUUCAACAAUUACAUUGUUUUUUACCUCCGUUCAAGUUUCUACAACACUAGCUAAACAUUUCAGUGCUCACACCUGUGCUGAAGACACUUCUCAUUUUAUCUCAAACGUUUGGCCUUUGAUUUGUAUGUCCAACACCUUAGAAUAAAACACUGUCCUAUUAAACUCAUAUAAUAAAUGUGCAAUGCAUCUCCAAACCCUUUGUCAGGGUACAGACUACAUUUUAAUUGUUGCAAGACUGAAGUAAAAUGUAACAAAAUGACAAUGAGUUUUCUUAAAUUAGGGGUAAAUGACAUGAGAAAUUAAGAAUAUUAGAAGUGUGGAGUGAUACGUGUAUUUAUCAGUGUGUUAGCUGCAGGAAGGGUGCUGUCCUUGACACGUCCCUUUACUCAGACAGGAUGACAGGUAGGGAAGGGGGUAGCCGAUGAUCUGCUCCAGUAUCUUCAGCACUGAAGCUUCUGCUGCUCUUCUUCAGUUUGAUCUGAGAGCCAGACCAUGAUGCAGUUGGACUGGCUGAGCGGUAGGUUGCCAGCAGCUUCAGACGUGCUGAUGUGCCUUGAUAACGUCGUGGAUGUUAGGAAACCAAGUUAGAUCAGCUGAGAUGGGGAUGCCCAGGAAAGGGAAGCUAUAAACCCUCCUCUGUGCCUACUAUAGUCCAAGAUGACUUUCAUGGUCUUUUAUUUGCCGAUCAGCCUUACACUAUACAGUUUCCGCACUUGUCUACAAAGUUCACCUCAGUGACCCUUAAUAAGUCUUUGUUAUUGGCAAGUUACUUAUAUCCAAGACAUGGAGAUGUGCGUGGCGGGUCCAGUAUGAGCAGGAUUUGGGAAAUGGCAGUUGCCAAGAACUCACAUCAAGUUUCAAGGUUUUUCCCUUUAUUUGGAGGAAAAAAAGUUUUUGUCCUUUUUUUGUUGUGCAGAAUUGCAAACCUAGAAAGAAAUCAAGUUGAAAGAAUUGAUAUAAAUGCAUUUGCCCUUCUUUUGACCCUUCUACAUCGUGAAUAUUUGGUGGCUGUUGCUUGGCGACUGUGAGAUCUCUCCAUAGGAUUGACAUGGGCUGGGCCUCUCAAUGACCUUGAUAUGAUUGUUCUUCAGCCAUUCCUUGGUUGCCUUGGCUGUAGGUUCUAGGUCACUAACCUGUUGGAAGACCCAUCCAUGACUGAUUUGAAGGGUCCUGACUUAAGGAUGGUAGGAAGUUCUCACUCAGGAUUUUCCAUUAAUGGCUCCAUCAACGUGGUGACGUAGCUCUGUGCAGAAAAAUAGCCACAAAGCAUAAUGCUUCCACCUCCAUGUUUGACAUUGGUUAAGCUGUUCUUGGGGUCAUAGGUAGCAAUUCUCUUCCUCCAAACCCAAUGGUUGAGUUGAUGCCAAAGAGCUCAGUUUUGAGCCAAACAUUCCAUUAUGCAGAAUAAACUGAUAAAGCAAACCCUAUUUUUCAGUGUGUGAUUUUCAUUUUUUCAUAAAUCUUAGGACAAUUUAGAUGAUAAAAGUAAUAAAUAUAUGAAAACAGUAUAAUACAGUAAAUAUGUAAAUAUUUGAUGUGAUGAACAAUAAUUAUCUGAUUUAGACCCAACAUGGAAUUUUUUUGACACACACAAAUCAAGUUGUGUUAUUUAAUGCUCGUAAUUUAGACACAAAUGAUAGAAAUGUUAGGUUUAUAUGCCAAAGAGGCCAUGUGAAAAUGUUAGUGCAAAUACGCAUGCGUGCGCGCCGUGCACAUAAAGCCACCCCACCCCCACGUGUCCGCGCGCCGGUCGGUGGGUGUUGGGCGUCAAUAAAGGUAAUCUGGUUGUCGCGCUUUCUGCAUCUCUGCACGAGCUAAAGAAGUCUCAAAGCUGAAUCUGCCACGAGGCUCGACAACUUCUUGCAUCAACUGCAAAGCGGUGAUCGCUGUGGCCGCCAAAACAUCCAAAUGUCAGGCGGGCUACAAAGAUUUCAGGCCAAAAGAGAACGCCUCACAUGUGAUGAAGUGUCUGUAUUGGUGCCCUAAGUUACCUGAUCAAGCACAAACGUGCUUUGCCUGGAUGAAGGCCUUGUAUCAGGUUGGAAAAAGCAGCAGCCCUCCAGUGCUUCAGCCGUCCAACCAUCAACCGUUUCAGACAUCCAUCCUCUCGCCACUUCAGCCCCACAGCCGUCCACCAGUGUCCCAACUCCUGACAUUUUACUAUCCUGGGGGGGGGUCAUGGCCUCUACGCUGGAUUCCAAAAAAGAGACAAAAAAAACCCCGACCUCAACCCCCACUCUUAGUCAGACAUGUUUAUUUUUUUUAUUUACAAUAAUAAAUAUUAUACUAUGUACAUUUAUUUUGUUUUACUUUUUUAUACUUAGUUUCCUUAUUUCCUAUAAUAUUUAUUAGUAGUUGUUGUUUGUUGAUGUUAGUUCUUUUUAGCCCCUUUUAUGUUAAAAUAGACAUUAAUGAUCCAGAUGCUGAUAUUCUAAUAUAUAGACAGAUUUAUGAAUGAAUUAUUCUCAACAGAAGUUCAACACUAUUGUGGUAGCAGUUUGACUGUUUUACUGUAAUCUGUCGUGCCUCACCCACUGCCCAUCCCAUAAAAAAGAACAAUUCUACAUCAUUAACCUUUUUUUAUUUUUAUUCAUAUGGCACAUUCAUAAAUACAAAGUUAGAAAUCAUACCCCCCAUUUUUCUAACUUUAUCAAUGAGUUCAAACAAAACAUGAACACAAUAAGAAACUCUGACAAUAAGAAAGCAUUUAAA
Molecule: non-coding RNA, 4416 nt
Organism: Oryzias latipes (Japanese medaka)
Lineage: Eukaryota; Metazoa; Chordata; Actinopteri; Beloniformes; Adrianichthyidae
Source: RefSeq, a predicted model, not a curated record